RNAcentral lists this unclassified non-coding RNA (20 nucleotides) under Dictyostelium discoideum. The record is from RNAcentral. Lineage: Eukaryota; Evosea; Eumycetozoa; Dictyosteliales; Dictyosteliaceae.
GAUUCUCAUAAGGAGCACCA